Molecule: transfer RNA, 73 nt
Organism: Ovis aries (sheep)
Lineage: Eukaryota; Metazoa; Chordata; Mammalia; Artiodactyla; Bovidae
Rfam family: tRNA
About the family: Transfer RNA (tRNA) molecules are approximately 80 nucleotides in length.
Source: Rfam
UCCCUUGUGGUCCAGUGGCUAAGACUCCGCGCUCCCAAUGUGGGGGGCCCAGGUUCAAUCCCUGGUCAGGGGA